CCCUUAGAUGUUCUGGGCCGCACGCGCGCUACACUGAUGCAUUCAACGAGUUUCUUCCUGGUCCGAGAGGAAUGGGUAACCUUUUGAAAGUGCAUCGUGAUAGGGAUAGACUAUUGCAAUUAUUGGUCUUCAACGAGGAAUUCCUAGUAGACGUAGUUCAUCAGACUGCAUCGAUUACGUCCCUGCCCUUUGUACACACCGCCCGUCGCUCCUACCGAUUGAAUGCUCAGGUGAGCCAUUCGGACUUUCAUCAUGCUGGAUUCCAGUUUUGAUGAAGGAAAGUCUUGCGAACCUUAUCAUUUAGAGGAAGGAGAAGUCGUAACA
This 324-nucleotide ribosomal RNA is filed under the name uncultured eukaryote. RNAcentral's name for it is "partial 18S ribosomal RNA". It matches the Rfam family "Eukaryotic small subunit ribosomal RNA", at positions 1470 to 1796 of the family's 1831-position model. The record is from RNAcentral.